CAGGACCCAGGAGGAGACAGUGGGCUGUAGGAGCCCCAACUGGCUGCUGGGAAAGGAAGCGGGGCGGCAGGAGGGGGCGGCAGGGACAGGGGCCACCCCGCCCAGCGGCCGCCGCUGCAGCGGCCGCCACCACUGCCACCGCGGCGACCGCACCCGGGCUGCAAGGAGCAGCGGCGCCUUGCGGAGGAAGGCGCUGUCGGGCCAGGGACCUGGAAGAGGAGACGCUGGAGCCCUGUGGACACAGGCUGACAACACGCUGACCAGCAGGGGGCGCUCGUCCAGGCUGACUCCUGACCCGCGCACAACACGCCCAGCCCCAGGUGCAGCAGAAAGGUCACUUUGAACAGUGGGUUUGAAGCUUCUCCUUCCAAGAGGGACAGGGUUUGAGUGUCCUCCCGAUCAAGCCAUGACCCUAAGGCUGUGACAAGCUUGCAGAACUUAAGUGUCCACCCCAAGGAUCCUCAGGGGCCUACCUUAUCCGCCUGCCAACUACCAAAAUUAACUCCAUUUUGUCAAAGGCCACAUGUAUCGCCCAUCCUCCAUCUUUCAAACUGAAUGUGGUUUUUUCUCCAGGGUUACAGAGAGGCUUUGAAAAGUAAAACUGUAUUAGAAAAAUGUAUUAGAAGAAUUUCACUCUACAAUCAUAAAGUUGAAAGAGGCAUAAGAGAUUACUAAAUUCUACCUCCUCAUCUUUGUUCCAUGUCAAAAAAUCAUUAACAACUUCUGGGUUAAAGGUUUCAAAAGAUUCUGGGUAAAUUAUCACAGAAAGUAAUAACAAUAACAGUAGCAGUAGUAAAGGGAGUGGGCAGAAGCAGUGGUAUUUCACUAGCAAACAAAAAUCAGACUGUCUCCUUACACUUAUAUGAACCACCUAACAUGGUGAAAUUCAAAGAGACAGAAAGUAGAAUGACAGUUGCCAGGGGCUGGGCAGAGGAGAGAAGGGGGUUAGUGUUUAAUGGGUAGGAUUUCUGUUACGCAAGAUGAAAACAACAGAGUUCUGGAGGUGGAUGUGGAUGGUUAUGGUGGCACAACAGUGUGAAUGUACUUAAUGCCAUUGAACUGCACCCUUAAAAAUGAUUAAGACGGUAAAUUUUAUGUGUAUUUUAACACACAUUUUUAAACCCGGGAAGGGGGAAAAAAAAAAGUUUCUCAACUGGCUAAUUUUCAUUUGGGGACCAGUAUGGCAAAGUGGUUAGCAACUGACACUCUGGAGUCCUGAGUUUUUCUCUGUCCUGCAUUUACUAACUAGCUGGGGACCUCUGAGCAAGUCAUUUGACAUCUCUGAGACUGCUUCUUCAUAUACAGAAACAAUAAUAAUAGUCUCCUAUCUCACAAGGCUGUGAGGCUAAGAAAACAAGGUAACAGACACUCACUGGCAGAAACGUAACACUCUCUAAAUUAUUAUUAUGAACUUUAAUAAUAAAUUAAUCAUUUAAUGCUACUUAUAAGCCAGCAAUAAUGAAAUUAUUAAUAUUAUAUUAUCAGCUAGGUUGAUAAGUUCAUCAGAACACUUCGUUUUAAGGGUAAAAGAGGCCCCAGUUAGGAGUCAGAAGCCCUGAACUUCAAAAGUGGCUGUGGGUGUGAGAUUUCUCCUCGGUGACAAGCAGGGCUGACGGAGAUGAUCUCUUAGAUUAACAGAAAGCAAAGAUCAGCUUUGCUAUUCAGCAGGAGCCAGCACUGCAGCUACACCACCUUCACCGCCUAAGCCGCUCAGGGAGCCGUCCCGGGCGAGGGAAGGGGUCCAAAGGUCAUGCCAGAGAGGCCUGACUGCAAAGCCCCUUUCUAAGCCCGAGGCAUGGUGCAAGGUUUGUGCAAGACACCCUCAAGAAUGAGAGCAAGGGUUCCACACCCUCGUUCCUCCCCUACCAAAGUCUACAAUUCAUCCCGCAGGGGGAGUUGCGAGGAACCUGCAAGCCUCCCAGGUCCUGCAGAGACCCCAAGAAAAGGCACCCCCAAACCAGCCAGGGUAGCAGAAUUAUAAAUACCUCCCCCGCACAUGCGCACUGAAAUUUACGAGUGGCCCUGGGCACAACGCAUGCCUACUGCGCCUGCGCCGUCCGGCUCUCUUUUCUGGGUACAGGACGUAAAACGGGGAGCCGACUGUCUCACGUAAAAGAAAAACAGGUCUGUGGCAGUCGCUCAAUCCCCGUUUUCUCGUUUCUUACCUCAUAGUGCUUCAUGGCUCCCCCGCACGGCGGCUGCUGCUCCUGCUACCUGCGCACGAUACACCACAGAAAACCUCACGCGGUGACGACCGCCGCGCGAGACUAACCGCGGACCCGCAUCCGCCCCGCCCCUCCCUGCCGCUCGCGCCCCUCCAGCCAAUCAGUGCGCAAGGCGCCCACCUUCGUCCCCGCCCCUCAGAGCCGGUCUGCGCAGGAACUAGCCGCUCUCGCCACGGGGCUAGCCAAUCAGCUUCCGGAACCCACCGUGGGGGGCGGAGCACGGGCAAGAGGGAGGAGGAUGGAGGAAAAAGAAGGGUCUUGGCUAUCCACCAAUCAAAGAGGGCCUCCGGUCGCGAGCGACCGUUGUCCCGCCCCUUGGUGGCGUCUCUGUGGAAACCAAGGGAAGCGACGGUUAUUGCAAGGCGGGGGGAGGGAGCUAGCAGAAGGCAACAUCCACAUGGCCGGCAGCUCGACUGGGUGAAUUCGGAGGUGGACGGCCCCCGGGGAGUACCGGGGAGCAACGGGAGAUAGCUAGGGGUUGGAGGCAUGGGCUGGGGCACCUGGAUGGAGAGGCUGCUCCGGCGAGGGAACCCCUAUCACGAAUGGGAGGAAAGUAAAGGGGAAAGAGACCCCACCCCUGAGCCUUCUUCAACUGUUGAGCGCUCCAGAACUCAGAGGCCUGGCAUCAGAGACAUGGUGAGAAGUCCUCAAAGACAGAUUGUUGGUUCACCGGAGAGCAGGGCGGGGAGAAGGUGAGUCAGUGCUCAGCACUUACUCAUCCAGGUUAGGCUCUAGAAAUUUCUGAAGCUACAACUUUUGGGGACCCCUGUCUCAGAAUAAAGGAAGCUAAGUCAUUUCCUUUUUCAGGA
Molecule: long non-coding RNA, 3034 nt
Organism: Bubalus bubalis (water buffalo)
Lineage: Eukaryota; Metazoa; Chordata; Mammalia; Artiodactyla; Bovidae
Exons: 4
Source: RefSeq, a predicted model, not a curated record